GGGGGUGUGGCUCAAGUGGAAGAGCACCUGCCUAGCAAGUGCGAGACUCCGAGUUCAAACCUCAGUACUACCA
RNAcentral lists this transfer RNA (73 nucleotides) under Dipodomys ordii (Ord's kangaroo rat). It matches the Rfam family "tRNA". Rfam says of the family: Transfer RNA (tRNA) molecules are approximately 80 nucleotides in length. Their secondary structure includes four short double-helical elements and three loops (D, anti-codon, and T loops). Further hydrogen bonds mediate the characteristic L-shaped molecular structure. tRNAs have two regions of fundamental functional importance: the anti-codon, which is responsible for specific mRNA codon recognition, and the 3' end, to which the tRNAs corresponding amino acid is attached (by aminoacyl-tRNA synthetases). tRNAs cope with the degeneracy of the genetic code in two manners: having more than one tRNA (with a specific anti-codon) for a particular amino acid; and 'wobble' base-pairing, i.e. permitting non-standard base-pairing at the 3rd anti-codon position. The record is from Rfam by way of RNAcentral. Lineage: Eukaryota; Metazoa; Chordata; Mammalia; Rodentia; Heteromyidae.